GUGGAAAAGGCCGCUCGGUCGAGAUUGCGCGCGGUUUGACUCUUUUCACCAACAAUAAUCUGGUGCCCAACAUUGGGCCUCAGAGAAGACUCAGGACCCUGAAGGAGUUGCCCAAAACUGGAGCUAAGGUACCAGCAGGAGCCCAUUGAAGCCUCACCGAAUUCGAGCUUCUCCUUCGGUGGAACUGGUGGACAACAAAAGGAAGAGGAACAUGAC
RNAcentral lists this long non-coding RNA (216 nucleotides) under Pan troglodytes (chimpanzee). RNAcentral describes it as "long non-coding RNA NONPTRT005640". The record is from RNAcentral. Lineage: Eukaryota; Metazoa; Chordata; Mammalia; Primates; Hominidae.